UGCAGACGAAUAAAGAGAAGAAAAGGAUUCUGUCAUUCUGUGUCAGUCUUCAAAUACGUGAAGAGCGUUCACCCUCAGGAGCAUGACAGGCGCCAUGUUCACUACCCGAAGAUGUGGCAAAGGGAGAGCACUCACGAGCACGGUUCCUAUGAAUGGAUGGGCUUUCCCAAGCUCCUCUCCUGAUGUUUGCUUCCCCUGAGGAGGAUAAUUUGGUGGCCAUGUCCUUGUUGUUGAGAAAGCUGAGCAUGAGGGAAGGCCAUAGAAGGCAAAUGGGGAGCAGCAUUUGUUCAGUCUUUCUCAAAUUGUCACUAACAUGCAGAGGCUACAUUUGAGUGGGUAAUAAUAAAAGAUAAAUGCAGGA
Molecule: long non-coding RNA, 361 nt
Organism: Callorhinus ursinus (northern fur seal)
Lineage: Eukaryota; Metazoa; Chordata; Mammalia; Carnivora; Otariidae
Source: RefSeq, a predicted model, not a curated record